Molecule: ribosomal RNA, 413 nt
Filed under: uncultured eukaryote
Lineage: Eukaryota
Description: SSU rRNA
Rfam family: Eukaryotic small subunit ribosomal RNA
Source: RNAcentral
CAAUAGCGUAUAUUAAAGUUGUUGCGGUUAAAAGCUCGUAGUUGGAUUUCUGCCGAGGACGACCGGUCCGCCCUCUGGGUGAGUAUCUGGCUCGGCCUGGGCAUCUUCUUGGAGAACGUAGCUGCACUUGACUGUGUGGUGCGGUAUCCAGGACUUUACUUGAGGAAAUUAGAGUGUUCACGGCAGGCAAGCGCCUUGAAUAUAUUAGCAUGGAAUAAUAAUAUAGGACUUUGGUUUCUAUUUUGUUGGUUCUAGGACUAAAGUAAUGAUUAAUAGGAUAAUUGGGGGCAUUUGUAUUAACGCGUCAGAGGUGGAAUUCUUGGAUUGCGUUACGACAAACUACUGCGAAAGCAUUUGCCAAGGAUGUUUUCAUUGAUCAAGAACGAAAGUAUGGGGAUCGAAGAUGAUCAGAU